RNAcentral lists this long non-coding RNA (434 nucleotides) under Physcomitrium patens. Its description in RNAcentral is "long non-coding RNA (PPAT_LNC003637)". The record is from RNAcentral. Lineage: Eukaryota; Viridiplantae; Streptophyta; Bryopsida; Funariales; Funariaceae.
UUAAUAACUGAUUUAACCAUCCAUCUUCUUGAACUGACUAUUCUAUGGACUAUUAAUCUAUUUUAUCAAUAUCUUAGAAAAUUGAACUAAUAUCUAUUCUACAUAGCCCCACUCCUAUCUGUGCAGCGUCCUCGCAAACACACAAUUGUUACCUAUCUAAAAACUACUUAACAAAAUUCUACAAAAUUACUAUUUCCUCUGGCCCACCCAAUUGAUCAUUUGCUACAUUAUCUAAUGUACAUUCCACCAAAUCUAGUACCAAUUACAAAUCUUCUUUGUCCUCCAAUCCGUCCAUCGGCUCUUCUUCAAUUGAUUUGAAAGAUCUUCAUUAUACUCUUCCAAUUCACAAACUUAAGCCUUUAGUUUCAAGAUCUAGACAUCUCAAAGUUCCAAUUGUUGCUGCUGCUGACUCAUCCAUUCUAGAACAUCUUCAA